AUCCACGGCACAAAAGGCAACAGCAGAAGCUACAGUAAUUACAGAAUGUUUGGCAACUCUGCUGGAGCUGGGAGCGGAUCCUACUCACUGACCUUUCUAGGGAAGAAAGUAGGGAGGCAUCGCUCCGUGGCUCCUGCAGGCACUCAACAUGCUUGGGAGAAAAGCAACCGAUGCUCUGAUGACCCUGAGGAUGCUGUGCGAUCGGGGCGGGUCCCAGGACUGGUGCAGGCGGUGGACAACUUGCCAGGCAGCGUACCUGAGCUGCAGGAGGACGUGUCCCGUCCAGUGUUUCACAGCACAGCGUCUGACAAUGCAGCAGGUGUUACUGGGAGGAAGCUAGCAGCAUGACGACACGCCCACAUUCCUGUAUGAGGAAACACAGAGGGAGAGGGUGGGGCAGGAAUGCAUAAGAAAGAGUCAGACAGACUGUGUCAAAAUCCAGCCACACUGACAUUUAAUUUAUUAACUAAUAGCUAUUGUACCUUCCCAAUUAAUAUUACCUCAUAAAAUAAUUAAAUUAGUGACGUUUUCUGCAUUUUUUUAGAAACAAACGUGUAAAUAGACAUUAAAUUGCCAACUAAUCAUGCCUCACAUUAGGAAAGAUGUAAAACCUGUUAUAAACCUAAAAAAUAAAAUGCUUAAAGUAAAGUUUACGUGAUUUUAUUUCUCAUGACUGCAUCCAAGAACAAUAAAUAAUAUAAUAAUAUAAAUGUAUCAACUUCAGCAUAAAACUGGCUUUAGGACACACACACACACACACACACACACACACACACACACACACACACACACACACACACACACACACACACACACACACACACAUGCGAACACCCACUAAAACUAUUUGAUGAUUUCGACAUCCAUCUGUACAAUAUUAUGUUAAUGUAACUGAAGACAAUCACUCCUGGAUUGGUUGGUAAGAAAUGAUGCCAAACUUUGUGCUGCUCUUACUGUUUUUGUUUUUUUAACCUAUUGCUCCACUCACCGAGCUGAUUUCAUCUACCCACCGUUCACCGUUCAAGCUGUCGCUCAUCACAAGUCUCCGUGGGUGAGGAGGUGGGGCGCGUUCAGGCGCUGGAUGGGUGCAGACCGGAGGAGGCGGCCCACGCAGGAAGUCAACCAGGCCUCGUCGGCGUCUCAGCUGUCGGGAAGUAGCGUUGCAGAUCGGGCCACAGACGCUAAGAGAUCCCAGGAUGUCAAGAUCUACAUCCCCUAUGAGUCAGCUGAGCUCUGCAUCGCUCAGAUAGGUGAGGACAUUGAAGCCAUGAAGAGACGACACCUGCUAACAGUGCAGGAGCUGGAGGAGAGCUUCCAGGUCACAGCCAGACAGAACCAGGAAUGCACCGUGCGGAAGAUCACAUCUCAUUAUCAGAACAAGCUCAACCACCUUCGGAUGAUCUUGGACCUUUAUCAAGAGAAAGUGGAGAAGAAGAAGGCCGGGUGGAAGCAGAGAGUUGAGGCCUUGACGGCGCAGAAUGAGCAGCUGCUGGUGGAGCAGGCGGCUGAGAUGAGGAGGAGUAAGGAGGAGGCCCAGCAGUGGGACAGAGAAAAGGUUACUUACAAUCCUUCCCCUUCACAAUAAAAUAACUUCCUUCUCACCGUAUUUCU
Betta splendens (Siamese fighting fish) is the source of this 1611-nucleotide long non-coding RNA. The record is from Ensembl. NCBI's taxonomy places the organism in Eukaryota, Metazoa, Chordata, Actinopteri, Anabantiformes, Osphronemidae.